Molecule: ribosomal RNA, 424 nt
Filed under: uncultured bacterium
Lineage: Bacteria
Description: partial 16S ribosomal RNA
Rfam family: Bacterial small subunit ribosomal RNA
Source: RNAcentral
AAUUUUGGACAAUGGGCGCAAGCCUGAUCCAGCCAUGCCGCGUGAGUGAAGAAGGCCUNCGGGUUNUNAAGCUCUUUCGGACGGANAGAAAUCGCGCAGGCUAAUACCCUGCGCGGAUGACGGUACCGUCAUAAUAAGCACCGGCUAACUACGUGCCAGCAGCCGCGGUAAAACGGAGGGUGCGAGCGUUAAUCGGAAUUACAGGGAGUAAAGCGUGCGCAGGGGGGUGAUUAAGACAGGCGUUAAAAUCCCGGGCCUAAGCUGGGAACUGCCGUUGUGACUGGUCAGCCAAAGUACGGCCGGGGGGGGUGGAAUUCCACGUGUAGCAGUGAAAUGCGUAGAGAUGUGGAGGAACACCGAUGGCGAAGGCAGCCCCCUGGGCCGAUACUGACGCUCAUGCACGAAAGCGUGGGUAGCAAACAGG